This 77-nucleotide small RNA is filed under the name Xanthomonas sp. LMG 8992. RNAcentral's name for it is "sX9 sRNA". It matches the Rfam family "Xanthomonas sRNA sX9". Lineage: Bacteria; Pseudomonadati; Pseudomonadota; Gammaproteobacteria; Lysobacterales; Lysobacteraceae. RNAcentral also lists the same sequence under 1 other name. The record is from RNAcentral.
AUGUACGCACUCGUACAUUGCGGUUCCUCCGCGCCGUCCGCACCCACCUGGCGACCGCUCGCGACGUUUUGAUCGCC